This 495-nucleotide ribosomal RNA is filed under the name uncultured bacterium. Its description in RNAcentral is "partial 16S ribosomal RNA". It matches the Rfam family "Bacterial small subunit ribosomal RNA", at positions 28 to 507 of the family's 1533-position model. The record is from RNAcentral.
GACGAACGCUGGCGGCGUGCCUAAUACAUGCAAGUAGAACGCUGAAGGAGGAGCUUGCUUCUCUGGAUGAGUUGCGAACGGGUGAGUAACGCGUAGGUAACCUGCCUGGUAGCGGGGGAUAACUAUUGGAAACGAUAGCUAAUACCGCAUAAGAGUAGAUGUUGCAUGACAUUUGCUUAAAAGGUGCAAUUGCAUCACUACCAGACGGACCUGCGUUGUAUUAGCUAGUUGGUGAGGUAACGGCUCACCAAGGCGACGAUACAUAGCCGACCUGAGAGGGUGAUCGGCCACACUGGGAGUGAGACACGGCCCAGACUCCUACGGGAGGCAGCAGUAGGGAAUCUUCGGCAAUGGACGGAAGUCUGACCGAGCAACGCCGCGUGAGUGAAGAAGGUUUUCGGGUCGUAAAGCUCUGUUGUAAGGGAAGAACGAGUGUGAGAGUGGAAAGUUCACACUGUGACGGUAUCUUACCAGAAAGGGACGGCUAACUACGUG